Molecule: ribosomal RNA, 506 nt
Filed under: uncultured bacterium
Lineage: Bacteria
Description: partial 16S ribosomal RNA
Rfam family: Bacterial small subunit ribosomal RNA
Source: RNAcentral
AUUGAACGCUGGCGGCAGUCCUAACACAUGAAAGUCGACAGGUAACAGGAAGCAGCUUGCUGCUUCGCUGACGAGUGGCGGACGGGUGAGUAAUGUCUGGGAAACUGCCUGAUGGAGGGGGAUAACUACUGGAAACGGUAGCUAAUACCGCAUAACGUCGCAAGACCAAAGAGGGGGACCUUCGGGCCUCUUGCCAUCGGAUGUGCCCAGAUGGGAUUAGCUAGUAGGUGGGGUAACGGCUCACCUAGGCGCCGAGCCCUAGCUGGUCUGAGCGGCUGGACAGCCACACUGGAAAUGAAACACGGUCCAGACUCCUACGGGAGGCAGGAGUGGGGUAUAUUGCACGAUGGGCGUGGGCCUGAUGCAGCCAUGCCGCGUGUAUGAAGAAGGCCUGCGGAUUGUAAAGUACUUUGGGCGGGGUGGAAGGCGAUAAGAUUAAUAGCCUUGUCGAUUGACGUUACCCGCAGGAGAAGCACCGGCUAACACCGUGCCAGCCGCCGCCGUAA